RNAcentral lists this ribosomal RNA (400 nucleotides) under uncultured bacterium. Its description in RNAcentral is "bacterial SSU rRNA". It matches the Rfam family "Bacterial small subunit ribosomal RNA", at positions 356 to 773 of the family's 1533-position model. The record is from RNAcentral.
UAGGAAUAUUGGACAAUGGGCGAAAGCCUGAUCCAGCCAUGCCGCGUGAACGAUGAAGGCCUUAGGGUUGUAAAGUUCUUUUAGGGGGGAAGAUAAUGACGGUAGCCCCAGAAAAAGCUCCGGCUAACUCCGUGCCAGCAGCCGCGGUAAUACGGAGGGAGCGAGCGUUGUUCGGAAUCACUGGGCGUAAAGGGUGCGUAGGCGGUUGUGUUAGUCAGAAGUGAAAGCCCCGGGCUUAACCCGGGAACUGCUUUUGAUACUGCAUAGCUAGAGUAUGGGAGAGGUUGGCGGAAUUCCGAGUGUAGAGGUGAAAUUCGUAGAUAUUCGGAAGAACACCAGUGGCGUAGGCGGCCAACUGGACCAUUACUGACGCUGAGGCACGAAAGCGUGGGGAGCAAAC